ACAGAGGGUGCGAACGUUGUUCGGAAUCACUGGGCAUAAAGCGCACGUAGGCGGCACCGCAAGUGUGGAGUGAAAUCCCACGGCUUACCCGUGGAACUGCUUGGCAGACUGCGGUGCUAGAGGUUGGUAGGGGAGAGCGGAACUCUUGGUGGAGCGGUGAAAUGCGUAGAUAUCAAGAGGAACACCGGUGGCGAAGGCGGCUCUCUGGUCCAAUCCUGACGCUGAGGUGCGAAAGCUAGGGGAGCAAACGGGA
This 253-nucleotide ribosomal RNA is filed under the name uncultured prokaryote. Its description in RNAcentral is "partial 16S ribosomal RNA". It matches the Rfam family "Bacterial small subunit ribosomal RNA", at positions 525 to 777 of the family's 1533-position model. The record is from RNAcentral.